RNAcentral lists this unclassified non-coding RNA (243 nucleotides) under fungal sp. Its description in RNAcentral is "partial internal transcribed spacer region". The stretch from base 1 to 46 matches the Rfam family "Eukaryotic small subunit ribosomal RNA", at positions 1786 to 1831 of the family's 1831-position model. The record is from RNAcentral. Lineage: Eukaryota; Fungi.
AAGUCGUAACAAGGUUUCCGUAGGUGAACCUGCGGAAGGAUCAUUUCCAAACCAAAACAAAAGAAAAAGAAUUGUGCAUGCCAAGUCCUUUUGAAAAAGAGGAGAGAGAGGCGUUCAUGAUUCUUUUUCUUUUUAAACACAAACACCAUUGAUAUUCUAAAGACUUGUUUGCUCAAGUCUGUCUAACAUUUCUAAAAAAAUUAUACAAAAAAACAACUUUUAACAACGGAUCUCUUGGCUCUC